GCAGAGUGACCAGCAGACAGGCACACAGAGUCUUUGGUGCUGAGAUGGUCUGGGAGAUGCAGAGUGAUGCGCUGAAAGAGAGAGAGAGCGCACGGAGAUGGCCACCUGCUGGAAACAAGUGGAGGCGACAGACGGAAUUGACAGAUUUACUUUGUGUCUCACCGACGAGGAAUUGAUUCGACUUCAUGAAGGGACCGGCGCUGCUGGACACACGCUGCUGUUGACGGAACAGGUCCGGAUUACAAGGAGCAGAAGAGACGCCUCUGCGUCAGCAUUGCAUUAAAUAUUCAGUCGGGCUGGCACCUGAUCUGACUGGAAUCAGUCGAUUCAAUGGGACGUUAUCAAGCAAAAACCAUCCUAUAGGAACUGGUCAGUAUGUACCUAUAGCCUCCCAACAGGUAGAGUCUGUCCGGAUCAUGCGCUUUAAUGGACGUGGAUGUAGUAGCCGCUAGAGGGCGCUAAAAGCAGUGUUGAAAUAAUAGUAAGCAUUUCAAUUGCAACGAGCUGAAAGCAGCGUGCUAACCCCGCAGCAAUCCCGCGGUUCGUACAGCUCCGGGCUGAACUAGUACGCAGGUUAAUACCAAUUGCAACGAACUUGGCGGCGCAAGGCAGCCCCCAGCUGCCCACUAAAAACGAUCUCGAUUGCAACGAACCCAAAAUAACUGCUGCUGCCCUCUGGAGGAUAUUAAGUACGAGACUGGGUUAGUCUAAACCUCUCUGUAGACUAACGGUUUAUAUUACCGUACUAAGCCGAACAAAUGUGAAAACAUCCCAAAAUGUAUUGACAACUUUUGUAACUGAACAAUUCAUAAUCACAGAUCCAUACCGCGUACCUGUGUUUACAGAGGAAAGACAUAUUGCACAGCAUUAUUAUUUUAUAUAAGGGAUAUCACUGCUGGCAUUGCAAUAUAUUCGUGUGGCGCUGGAGUGAGUUUCGUGACAUUAUAACAAUACGGAAAACGAGACUCCUGCUCCCCCAAUCACCUCCACAACGGAAAAAAUGAUCCAGAGGCAAAAUAUUACAAUUACGGUUGAAAUGAUUUAUUACAAAC
Long non-coding RNA from Polyodon spathula (Mississippi paddlefish), 1052 nucleotides. RefSeq lists it as uncharacterized. The record is from RefSeq and is a predicted model, not a curated record. The transcript has 3 exons. Lineage: Eukaryota; Metazoa; Chordata; Actinopteri; Acipenseriformes; Polyodontidae.